CAGUCGCCGCGGUAAUACGUAGGGCGCAAGCGUUAUCCGGAAUUAUUGGGCGUAAAGAGCUCGUAGGCGGUUUGUCGCGUCUGCCGUGAAAGUCCGGGGCUCAACCCCGGAUCUGCGGUGGGUACGGGCAGACUAGAGUGAUGUAGGGGAGACUGGAAUUCCUGGUGUAGCGGUGAAAUGCGCAGAUAUCAGGAGGAACACCGACGGCGAAGGCAGGUCUCUGGGCAUUAACUGACGCUGAGGAGCGAAAGCAUGGGGAGCGAACAGGAUUAGAUACCCCUGUAGUCCCUGUCUCUUAUAC
Molecule: ribosomal RNA, 301 nt
Filed under: uncultured bacterium
Lineage: Bacteria
Description: partial 16S ribosomal RNA
Rfam family: Bacterial small subunit ribosomal RNA
Source: RNAcentral